UCACAUGCAAUUCUCGCCCACUUCUCUCAUUUCUAUUUCUCUCUCUGAUCUCGCCGCCGUUAGGUUUCCGUUCUCAUUACCUGUUUCAAAAUCUGCAUGGUGGAAUCGGUGCAUACCCAUUAGAUUUGCUUCCGCCUCUCUUUUUGAACCUCGAAAUUCUCUUUCAAUUUGUUGAUUUCUUCUUCUGAGCGGUAAUUGUGGGGAUAUCGGUGUUGAUCAGGAGCGUAGGGUUUGUUUUUCCUUUGAUUCAGAUCUCCUUCUGCUUCUUUUGAGGGGGUAGCCGGGGCUCCGGCCUCGGCGGGUUGUAAAGCCCCCUACCUUUACAAACCUUGCCAAAUUCGACCCUUACAAUUCUUUGAUUCUUUCAUUUUAACCCCCUUACAAGCAGAUCGGGGAAGAGAUGCCGGCCCUAGCGUUUUGUGUUGACGCCGCCAUGGCCGCUCUUUCUCCUCCUUCCGGCUAUACCGCCUGGGAUAGCUCUCUUCCCGCGCCGGAGCCAUUCUCCGGCGUACCUCCAUCGACAAACACCGUUCUGGAUGAUGUAUCUGUAUCAUCCCUCACUCCUUGGACGUCAUCCCACUCUAAUGCUCUCUACAAGAUUGACGCCUGGGGAGCGCCUUACUUCUCCGUCAACACAUCCGGUAACGUCACCGUCCGUCCACACGGUUCCCGAACCAUGGACCACCAGGAGAUAGAUCUCCUAAAGGUCGUGAAGAAGGCCUCCGACUCCAAAUCCAUAGGAGGCCUAGACCUCCCGCUCCCUCUCAUCAUCCGGUUUCCAGACGUCCUGAAGGACCGCCUUGAAUGUCUCCAAUCGGCGUUCAAUUAUGCCGUUAAAUCACAAGGGUACAGCUCUCAUUACCAAGGCGUUUAUCCCGUGAAAUGCAACCAGGACCGAUUCGUCGUCGAGGACAUUGUCAAAUUUGGAUCGUCGUUCAGGUUCGGGUUGGAAGCUGGAUCCAAACCUGAGCUUCUCAUGGCCAUGAGCUGCCUCUGCAAAGGUAGCUCCGAAUCCCUCCUGAUUUGCAAUGGUUUUAAAGACGCGGAAUAUAUCUCGCUAGCUUUGAUAGCUCGAAAGCUAUCAUUAAACACCGUGAUUGUUCUCGAACAAGAGGAAGAGCUGGAUUCUGUGAUUGAUAUAAGCAUAAAGCUAGGCGUUCGUCCCGUCGUCGGGGUCCGUGCUAAGCUGCGGACUAAACAUUCCGGCCAUUUUGGAUCGACUUCCGGCGAAAAGGGCAAAUUUGGUCUCACAACGACGCAAAUUCUCCGUGUUGUGAAAAAGCUUGAACAAUGUGGCAUGUUGGAUUGCUUCCAAUUGCUCCAUUUCCACAUCGGUUCUCAGAUCCCAUCGACAUCCUUGCUUGCUGAUGGUGUAGGUGAAGCCGCCCAGAUUUACAGCGAAUUAGUCCGCCUUGGUGCUUCCAUGAAAGUUAUCGACAUAGGUGGUGGGCUUGGGAUCGACUACGAUGGUUCAAAAUCCACUAAUUCUGAUGUCUCCGUUGCUUAUACUUUAGAAGAAUACGCAAUGGCGGUUGUUCAGGCAGUAAAAUUCGUUUGUGACCGGAAUUCCGUGAAGCAUCCUGUGAUUUGCAGCGAAAGCGGCCGUGCCAUCGUCUCCCACCAUUCAAUUCUGAUAUUCGAGGCAGUUUCGUCUAGCAACUAUACAGUUCCAACCAUGUCCUCUCACGACGUCCAGCAUUUCAUCGAGCAGCUCCCUGGGGACGCUCAUUCCGACUACAAUAAUCUGUCCCAGUCUGCUGUGAGAGGCGAGUACGAUGCUUGUUUGGCUUACUCCGAUCAACUAAAGCAGACAUGCGUCGAGAAAUUCAAAGAUGGAUUAAUGGACAUCGAACAGUUAGCUGCUAUUGAUGGGUUCUGUGAUUUGGUUGCGAAGGCAAUUGGAGUAUCCAAUCCUGUAAGCACUUAUCAUGUCAAUCUUUCUGUCUUCACUUCGAUUCCUGAUUUCUGGGGCAUCGGACAACUCUUCCCUAUCCUUCCAAUCCACCGACUUACCGAUUGCCCAUCGAAAAAGGGGAUUCUAUCAGAUCUAACUUGCGACAGUGAUGGAAAGAUUGAUAAAUUCAUCGGAGGUGAAUCCAGCUUACCCCUCCAUGAAUUAGAAGGAGAGAAUGGAAUGAAGUACUAUCUGGGUAUGUUCUUAGGAGGGGCAUACCAGGAGGCUAUGGGUGGUGUCCACAAUCUAUUCGGCGGCCCUAGUGUGAUUCGUGUAUCUCAAAGUGAUGGUCCUUUCGGGUUUGCUGUUACUAGAGCUGUCCCAGGGACGUCUUGCAGUGAUGUUCUUCGUUCAAUGCAUCAUGAACCAGAGAUGAUGUUUGAAACCCUUAAACACAGAAUCGAAGAGUAUGUUCAUGAAGAAGGUGAUAUGAUUGCAGGUGGCAUUGCUCAAUCUUUCCACAACAUGCCUUACCUAAGUGUCGGAUCUUCUUGCUGUUUAACUGCUGCAAGUGGCAAUAAGGGAUACUAUUACUGUUCUGAUGAGGAUUUCACCGCCGGAGGUGAGGUGGUUUCCGGUGAGGAUGAUGAUCAGUGGUCAUAUGUGGGUGCGUGAUGGUGAUGGGUGGUGUUUGUCAGUGAGGUCGUUCUGUUUCUGUUUCUGUUUCUGCAAACUUUAUUUGGUUUUCUUGUUUUUAGUUAAUUAAAGUAGAGAGUUAUCUUUAAUUUGGGUCUGCUCUCUUUUUAUCCGUUAACAAGAUUUAAAAAGAGAGCUGGUGAUCUUUCUGAUAAAUUUGUGAAGAUAAAGAGUUGGGGGGUUUUUUAUGUAGCCCGAUUUGUUAAUUCCCCUUCUCUUUCUUCACCUUGUAGUCUAUUAUUAUUCUCUAUGAACCAUAUACGUACACAUGGUCAGGCUUUUUAUGUUUGAUGGAAGGUAUGUUUUCUUGUCUAUUAUGAUUAGCAAGCAUAAAGCAUAUGAUAUAUUGUUGAAAGAUUUGAAUAUGUUGCGUCUGUUUUGACCUCUUAUCUUAAUUAUGCAAUUGGUACCAACCAUGUGAGGAAAGAAGAUUCGUGGAAAGUGACAAUUGAUUCCCGUUUCCUAUAUUUACACAAGUGGUUUUUAAUUUUACUUGUAUGUCGUGUAACCAUCCAUUUGGCUAAAGUUAAUUUGUUGGAAAA
This is an RNA transcript of Lactuca sativa (garden lettuce), 3132 nucleotides long. It is a transcript of the gene named arginine decarboxylase 2, with no coding region annotated. Lineage: Eukaryota; Viridiplantae; Streptophyta; Magnoliopsida; Asterales; Asteraceae. The record is from RefSeq and is a predicted model, not a curated record.